RNAcentral lists this long non-coding RNA (854 nucleotides) under Mus pahari (shrew mouse). RNAcentral's name for it is "predicted gene 15521 (MGP_PahariEiJ_G0032878.1)". Lineage: Eukaryota; Metazoa; Chordata; Mammalia; Rodentia; Muridae. The record is from RNAcentral.
AAGUCUGGUAAACAUGCUAUUAUCCAGAAGCCAGAAGAUUCCUUUGUGAAUAAUGCGUGUAAAUAGAACUGAUUGCUCUGGGAGAAAUGAAGGGCCCCAUACUUAAGGGAAGUAGAAUUCAGGUGAAGGACAAAAGCCGAGGAAUAAAGCGGCAUUUUGCUGUGCAGAACAACAGUUUGGUUCCUGCCCAGAGUUCCUGCACUGGCUUCUCUCACUGAUGAACAAGCCAUAAGCUCGAGAGGAGUAUGCGAUGAGCAUCAACAUUGGGAGACCUUGUGAGAUGGCAGCAGUCAUGUGUGUUGUUGUUUGAAACCAAGCACAUGCUUUAGCCCAGCACAGAACUCUGGGUUCUUUCCAUGCCUGGGCCUUUGGUAAGAACUACCAUGUCCAGUGUGACUACCCCAAGCACCCAACCCUUAAUCAUUUGAUCACAGAGACCCUGUAAUCACCUGCAUUUCCCCCUGGUGGGUACUAAGUCUCUCUAUUAACCUGCCAGCAUCUAAAUUGGCUCUUCAGUAGAAGCCUAAAUGACUGCUUACCCUAGAAGCUCUUCAUGUUCCAAAAUUAGCCCACAGUUGAAGAGCGGGUCAUGUUGCUUCCUGUCUUGGGUGAUAGCAACUUUCUCAGCCACUGGAAGCACAUCUCUUAACCUUUCCUGACUUCCCCAUCUGUGAUUUUUCAGCUAAUUAUUCCGAACAUUAAGGGGCGAUGGAGAGGAUUAAUUUGUUAAUGUUUGAAAAGUACUUUAGAUAUGUAAAGUGCUAAGUAUUUCUAAAUUCCACAUAAAUAAAUUGCAAUUUGGGAUCUAAAGGGAAUCAAUAGUUGCAUUUAUUUAACCAAUCUACAAAAAAAAA